This 48-nucleotide ribosomal RNA is filed under the name Chenopodium formosanum. The record is from RNAcentral. Lineage: Eukaryota; Viridiplantae; Streptophyta; Magnoliopsida; Caryophyllales; Amaranthaceae.
GCGAUCAUACCAGCACUAAUGCUCCGGAUCCCAUCAGAACUCCGCAGU